Long non-coding RNA from Mirounga angustirostris (Northern elephant seal), 1371 nucleotides. RefSeq lists it as uncharacterized. The record is from RefSeq and is a predicted model, not a curated record. NCBI's taxonomy places the organism in Eukaryota, Metazoa, Chordata, Mammalia, Carnivora, Phocidae. The transcript has 3 exons.
CGGAAAGUUUGCUCCUGGGAGCCCGGAAGGCGCGGCGCGUAGGUGCCCAGAGCCCCCGCCCUACCCAUGGUGAGGCAGUGGAAUCUCCGCGGGUCCCCCACGUUGUAGGUGGUGGCGGCGCAGACAGAUAAGGAAACAGGCUCAGAGAGGCUACGCAAAUUGUCCAAGGCACAGAGCUUCCAAGGGGCAGAGGAAAGAUUCAAACCGAGGAUUUCUCAUCCUAAGACCCUGCUCUUCUUUCCACCCCAGCCCACAGCGUCCUGUGCUGUGUCGCCUGGACCACAGCGACUGAGCGGGCGAACCCCGGCUGCGCGUCUGGGGGCCAGUGCGAAGUCGGUCCUCACUCAACCCCGAACCCCAAACGCAGGUGAAGUCGAGGGAGGCCGCUCCCUAGAUGGAGAUAAAUAGAUUGUGAGAGGAUGCGAGGCGCUCCCAGCGCGUCCGCCGCUCCCGGCGCUUUCGCUGCGGGAGCUGGAGACCCACACCGUACCCUCUCUGGGGUCUCGACUCUCUGGGUCCCGGUCUCUCCUUCUCCCUAAUUUAUUUCUCAUUGGAAAACGAAGCGACUCUAAGGGAUCGUACUGAAGCCACAGCCCGAGAACACCGCGACCGGCAACGGCCCCCAACCACCUGGCAUCCACGCUCCGCGCUGCGUCCUCGCCGCGACAGUGGAAACUUACCCACAGAAACAAAAGGAAUCUUUCUUCGAUCUUCACUGUGUCUCAGCCUUUCAAGAGCCACUUGAGCUCGAGUAAGUUAUUUAACCUGUUUCCUCUGAAAUUUAUAGAAUGGAAAUAAUAUCCCAGUUUUUUUCAUUGGAGUGUUGUGAGGGUGAGAGGAGACAAAAAUGAAAAUGUUUUGUGAAAUGUUUAGCACUAUGUAAACACUGAUAUAAAUAUUGUUUUUCCUUGUAGAUGGGCUUAUCUCUUUGCCUCACUUUUACCCUAUUUUUCUGAAUAAAGACUGCAUUCUUUUACAUGUUCAUAUCUGAAUGUCUUCCCAUGGUGCAAUUAACUACAACAAUAAAGAUGAUAGCAAGAGUUCUGAGGAAAUUCACUUACAACUAUUUUGUGCCUCCAGGUAUAAGUUAUUCUCAUGGCAGUAGGGUGCAUUUCAUUUUCUGAACCCCCAAAUACCUCAUAGCUCAUUACAUCUUCUAAGGACACAAUUGAUACCUUUAAAUACACCACGCACAGAGUUAUUAGUUGAUCUCCCAAAGCCUAAAAUUGUUCAUGCAUCUUCUUAAGUGCUUAAUGUCACUAGGAGCAACACAAUACCUUGAAUAUUGAAGCCCUAAAGUUAAUUUGAGAGGAUUCUACCUUCAAAAUUUAGUUUUAUAUAAAAGUAACUCACAUUUUAAGAAGAGGUUGA